GCAGCCUGCAACUCGGCUGCAUGAAGCCGGAAUCGCUAGUAAUCNCGGAUCAGAAUGCCGCGGUGAAUACGUUCCCGGGUCUUGUACACACCGCCCGUCACACCAUGGGAGUCGGGAAUGCCCGAAGUCGGUGAGCUAACGAAAGAGGCAGCCGCCGAAGGCAGGCCCGGUAACUGGGGUGAAGUCGUAACAAGGUACC
Molecule: ribosomal RNA, 199 nt
Filed under: uncultured bacterium
Lineage: Bacteria
Description: partial 16S ribosomal RNA
Rfam family: Bacterial small subunit ribosomal RNA
Source: RNAcentral